UACGAAGGGGGCUAGCGUUGCUCGGAAUCACUGGGCGUAAAGGGCGCGUAGGCGGCCAUUCAAGUCAGAGGUGAAAGCCCCAAGGCUCAACCUUGGAACUGCCUUUGAUACUGUUUGGCUUGAGACCGGUAGAGGUAAGUGGAACUGCGAGUGUAGAGGUGAAAUUCGUAGAUAUUCGCAAGAACACCAGUGGCGAAGGCGGCUCACUGGCCCGAUACUGACGCUGAGGCACGAAAGCGUGGGGAGCAAACAGG
This 254-nucleotide ribosomal RNA is filed under the name uncultured bacterium. RNAcentral describes it as "partial 16S ribosomal RNA". It matches the Rfam family "Bacterial small subunit ribosomal RNA", at positions 524 to 776 of the family's 1533-position model. The record is from RNAcentral.